RNAcentral lists this non-coding RNA (26 nucleotides) under Homo sapiens (human). The record is from RNAcentral. Lineage: Eukaryota; Metazoa; Chordata; Mammalia; Primates; Hominidae.
UGAUGGUCAAUGGAGUCUUGGCUGGC